Molecule: ribosomal RNA, 368 nt
Filed under: uncultured microorganism
Description: bacterial SSU rRNA
Rfam family: Archaeal small subunit ribosomal RNA
Source: RNAcentral
GCGCACCAGUCGAGAACCUUUACAAUGUCUUCACGGACGAUAGGGAAUCCUGAGUGCUCUAGCAUUGCUAGAGCUUUUGCUUACUGAAAAAAGGUAGGCGAAUAAGUGGUGGGUAAGACGGGUGCCAGCCGCCGCGGUAAUACCCGCGCCACAAGUGGUGACCACGUUUAUUGGGUCUAAAGCGUUCGUAGCCGGCCUGAUAAAUUCUCGGUGAAAUCCUGUGUAAAUCAUAGGGGCGUGCCGGGAAGACUGUCAAGCUAGGAACCGGGAGAGGCUGAGGGUACUCCAGGAGUAGGGGUUAAAUGCCGUCAUGGUUUAACCCUACGGUUUAACAAUCCUGUAAUUCUUGGAGGACCACCGGUGGCGAA